RNAcentral lists this transfer RNA (105 nucleotides) under Sporisorium reilianum SRZ2. RNAcentral's name for it is "transfer RNA-Leu(AAG)". It matches the Rfam family "tRNA". Rfam says of the family: Transfer RNA (tRNA) molecules are approximately 80 nucleotides in length. Their secondary structure includes four short double-helical elements and three loops (D, anti-codon, and T loops). The record is from RNAcentral. Lineage: Eukaryota; Fungi; Basidiomycota; Ustilaginomycetes; Ustilaginales; Ustilaginaceae.
GCAAGAUGGCCGAGUGGUCUAAGGCGUAGCAUUAAGGAAGAUAUUCCGAGUAUUCGGAAAGCCCCUGCUAUCUUCGGGCGUGGGUUCGAAUCCCACUCUUGUCAC